CUCCAAUCAAAUCAUACUGGCAUUUCUCGGUUACAAAUACUACAUGGUAAAACAAAGGUAAUGUCAAUACGUGGCUAUAUCAUUGCUUUUCACUUGAAACCUUCGUAUUAAUAUUUCAGUUUGUAGAGAUUCCAAUGCAAUGGACCUGUUGAGGCACGCUUGUAAAUAUGACAUUUCUGAGGCUAAUAAUCUAUCGCGUUCACGCGGAAAAGUUAUGUCUAGACUUACUCUCACUCAUGUCACAAAGAUAGAAUAUAAAAAAAUUAAUUGCUGACCAUUGUUGUGUCAUGGAACCAGAAUGGCGAGCAUGAUAAUGUCGGUCAGUUACAAAUUCAACAAAAAAUCAUCGUCGCCACAAGACCUUGUUAUUGAUUAUGUGCAAAAGGCAAGGGAAAUGAGGGAUCGUGCAGUUGAAUAUUUUUCAAGACUAGACCAGCAGGGGACUAGAACUGAACGCCCACAUCCAGUUCGCUAGAAAAGGCGUACUUCUUCAAGAAGGACAAUUGGUGAAGCUUUCUCUUCAGGAUACUUAAUUGCUUGGCCUUCAACUUUUAUUCAAAAGAAGGAUAAUUGAGUUGUAGCUGAAUACUUCGGUUGGAACAGGAAGCAAAUAAAAUUUGAAGAUUUUACUUCCAAAUAGUUGUAGUUUACAUUGAUAGAUUGAAAAAUGUAAUAUUAUUCAAAAGAUCUUUUUCUUUGGUCGCAUUUAUGCAAAUGCUAAGGUGUAAUAUUCUCC
Molecule: long non-coding RNA, 736 nt
Organism: Triticum aestivum (bread wheat)
Lineage: Eukaryota; Viridiplantae; Streptophyta; Magnoliopsida; Poales; Poaceae
Exons: 4
Source: RefSeq, a predicted model, not a curated record